GGNGUANAGUUUGAUCAUGGCUCAGGAUGAACGCUGGCGGUAUGCUUAANACAUGCAAGUCGAACGAAAGUUUUUAACUUUAGUGGCGAACGGGUGCGUAAUACGUGAGAAUCUGCCCUUAGGAGGAGUAUAACUGCUGGAAACGGCUGCUAACACUCCAUAUGUCGAGAGAUGAAAUAAUUUAUUGCCUAAGGAUGAGCUCGCGCCUGAUUAGCUAGUUGGUGAGGUAAUGGCUCACCAAGGCCACGAUCAGUAGCUGGUUUGAGAGAACGAUCAGCCACACUGGGACUGAGACACGGCCCAGACUCCUCCGGGAGGCAGCAGUGAGGAAUUUUCCGCAAUGGGCGAAAGCCUGACGGAGCAAUACCGCGUGAGGGAUGAAGGAUUUUGGUCUGUAAACCUCUUUUCUCAAGAAAGAAGUUCUGACGGUACUUGAGGAAUAAGCAUCGGCUAACUCCGUGCCAGCAGCCGCGGUAAUACGGGGGAUGCAAGCGUUAUCCGGAAUCAUUGGGCGUAAAGCGCCUGUAGGUUGUUUAAUAAGUCUGUUGUUAAAGACUAGGGCUUAACCCUAGAAAAGCAAUGGAAACUACUAGACUAGAGUAUGGCAGGGGUAGAGGGAAUUUCUAGUGUAGCGGUGAAAUGCGUAGAUAUUAGAAAGAACACCGGUGGCGAAAGCGCUCUACUGGACCAUUACUGACACUCAGAGGCGAAAGCUAGGGUAGCAAAAGGGAUUAGAUACCCCUGUAGUCCUAGCCGUAAACGAUGGAUACUAGAUGUUGUGCUUUAUGUACAGUAUCGUAGCUAACGCGUUAAGUAUCCCGCCUGGGGAGUACGCUCGCAAGG
This 843-nucleotide ribosomal RNA is filed under the name uncultured bacterium. Its description in RNAcentral is "bacterial SSU rRNA". It matches the Rfam family "Bacterial small subunit ribosomal RNA", at positions 1 to 893 of the family's 1533-position model. The record is from RNAcentral.